GACGAACGCUGGCGGCGUGCUUAACACAUGCAAGUCGAACGGAAAGGCCCUGCUUGCAGGGUGCUCGAGUGGCGAACGGGUGAGUAACACGUGGGUGAUCUGCCCCUUACUUUGGGAUAAGCCUGGGAAACUGGGUCUAAUACUGGAUAGGACCAUGCUGUAGGUGGUGUGGUGGAAAGAUUAGUUUCGGUAAGGGAUGAGCUCGCGGCCUAUCAGCUUGUUGGUGGGGUAAUGGCCUACCAAGGCGUCGACGGGUAGCCGGCCUGAGAGGGUGGACGGCAACAUUGGGACUGAGAUACGGCGCAGACUCCUACGGGAGGCAGCAGUGGGGAAGAUGGCAAAAUGGGCGCAAGCCUGAUGCAGCGACGCCGCGUGGGGGAUGACGGCCUUCGGGUUGUAAACUCCUUUCAGCCAUGACGAAGCCCUUGUGGUGACGGUAGUGGUAGAAGAAGCACCGGCUAACUACGUG
RNAcentral lists this ribosomal RNA (469 nucleotides) under uncultured bacterium. RNAcentral describes it as "partial 16S ribosomal RNA". It matches the Rfam family "Bacterial small subunit ribosomal RNA", at positions 28 to 507 of the family's 1533-position model. The record is from RNAcentral.